GACGAACGCUGGCGGCGUGCUUAACACAUGCAAGUCGAACGGAAAGGCCCUGCUUUUGUGGGGUGCUCGAGUGGCGAACGGGUGAGUAACACAUGAGUAACCUGCCCUUGACUUUGGGAUAACUUCAGGAAACUGGGGCUAAUACCGGAUAGGAGCUCCUGCUGCAUGGUGGGGGUUGGAAAGUUUCGGCGGUUGGGGAUGGACUCGCGGCUUAUCAGCUUGUUGGUGGGGUAGUGGCUUACCAAGGCUUUGACGGGUAGCCGGCCUGAGAGGGUGACCGGCCACAUUGGGACUGAGAUACGGCCCAGACUCCUACGGGAGGCAGCAGUGGGGAAUAUUGCACAAUGGGCGGAGGCCUGAUGCAGCAACGCCGCGUGCGGGAUGACGGCCUUCGGGUUGUAAACCGCUUUCGCCUGUGACGAAGCGUGAGUGACGGUAAUGGGUAAAGAAGCACCGGCUAACUACGUG
This 468-nucleotide ribosomal RNA is filed under the name uncultured bacterium. Its description in RNAcentral is "partial 16S ribosomal RNA". It matches the Rfam family "Bacterial small subunit ribosomal RNA", at positions 28 to 507 of the family's 1533-position model. The record is from RNAcentral.